UCGAACGGUAGAGUAGCAAUACUUGAGAGUGGCGAGCGGGUGAGUAAUAUAUCGGAACGUGCCCAGUCGUGGGGGAUAACGUAGCGAAAGCUACGCUAAUACCGCAUACGAUCUAUGGAUGAAAGCGGGGGACUCGCAAGGGCCUCGCGCGACUGGAGCGGCCGAUAUCAGAUUAGCUAGUUGGUGGGGUAAAAGCUCACCAAGGCGACGAUCUGUAGCUGGUCUGAGAGGACGACCAGCCACACUGGGACUGAGACACGGCCCAGACUCCUACGGGAGGCAGCAGUGGGGAAUUUUGGACAAUGGGCGAAAGCCUGAUCCAGCAAUGCCGCGUGCAGGAUGAAGGCCUUCGGGUUGUAAACUGCUUUUGUACGGAGCGAAACGGUCUUCUUUAAUACAGAGGGCUAAUGACGGUACCGUAAGAAUAAGCACCGGCUAACUACGUGCCAGCAGCCGCGGUAAUACGUAGGGUGCAAGCGUUAAUCGGAAUUACUGGGCGUAAAGCGUGCGCAGGCGGUUAUAUAAGACAGAUGUGAAAUCCCUGGGCUCAACCUAGGAACUGCAUCUGUGACUGUAUAGCUAGAGUACGGUAGAGGGGGAUGGAAUUCCGCGUGUAGCAGUGAAAUGCGCAGAUAUGCGGAGGAACACCGAUGGCGAAGGCAAUCCCCUGGACCUGUACUGACGCUCAUGCACGAAAGCG
RNAcentral lists this ribosomal RNA (700 nucleotides) under uncultured Comamonadaceae bacterium. RNAcentral's name for it is "bacterial SSU rRNA". It matches the Rfam family "Bacterial small subunit ribosomal RNA", at positions 62 to 761 of the family's 1533-position model. The record is from RNAcentral. Lineage: Bacteria; Pseudomonadati; Pseudomonadota; Betaproteobacteria; Burkholderiales; Comamonadaceae.